AGAACGAACGCUGGCGGCAUGCCUAACACAUGCAAGUCGAACGAGACCCCAACUUCGGUUGGACGUCUAGUGGCGCACGGGUGCGUAACGCGUGGGAAUCUGCCCUUCGGUUCGGAAUAACUCGGAGAAAUCCGUGCUAAUACCGGAUAAUGACGUAAGUCCAAAGAUUUAUCGCCGAGGGAUGAGCCCGCGUAGGAUUAGCUUGUUGGUGAGGUAAAGCUCACCAAGGCGACGAUCCUUAGCUGGUCUGAGAGGAUGAUCAGCCACACGUGGGACUGAGACACGGCCCAGACCUCCGUACGGGAGGCAGCGAAGGUGGGGAAUAGUUGGAACAAGUGGGACGAAAGCCUAGAUCCGAGCAAGUCGGCCG
Molecule: ribosomal RNA, 370 nt
Filed under: uncultured soil bacterium
Lineage: Bacteria
Description: bacterial SSU rRNA
Rfam family: Bacterial small subunit ribosomal RNA
Source: RNAcentral